Pygocentrus nattereri (red-bellied piranha) is the source of this 4971-nucleotide RNA transcript. It is a transcript of the gene named ribosomal protein S6 kinase b, polypeptide 1a, with no coding region annotated. The record is from RefSeq and is a predicted model, not a curated record. The transcript is spliced from 7 exons. Lineage: Eukaryota; Metazoa; Chordata; Actinopteri; Characiformes; Serrasalmidae.
UUGCUUUUCAUUUGUAUGGCGACCACUAUUAAUUUCAGUGUGCAUAUUUUAUUAAAAUCACCAGGUAUCGUUAAAAAUCUAUGCCAGUAAUUGUAUUUUGUCGCAGUGUGCUAUUAGGUUAAACUUGGCGCGUGCGCAAACACCCUGUUGAGUUGCUUUAGCGUUUUCCCUCGCUGACGCUGGGAAACUUCUGGCUUGCAGUGGACGACUGUGUGUGAGGCUUUACUGGUUAUGGCGGCUGUGUGUGAACUUCCAUGAACCGAGAACUAGCACAGCGGUUGGGGACCGAGACCGCGGGGAAGGUGUGUGGUCGUGGCUGUUGUGUUUGAUGUCGACCUGGACCAGCCAGUGGAGGAGGCUGCCACUGAAGAUGAGCUCGAGGACGGGACUCAGACCAGUGAAUAUAUGGAGCAGUGUGGCAGCUUUGAUUUUUUUGAGGGCUGUGAGAGGUUUGAAAUCUCUGAGGACAGUUUGAACACGGGCGCUGAGCGUGUUCACCCAAAGUGCUUCGAGCUGCUACGGAUCUUGGGGAAAGGUAGCUAUGGAAAGGUCAGCAUGAAAAGUCCCCUACUUGCUGCCAUGUUCUCCAGCCCCUUGCGUAUCAUAAGUAUGUAGGUAUAUCUACUUAUCCAUGACAUGAGUGUGUAGUGUGCAACUCGUUAGGAAUUCUGGGUAUUGUGCCAUUUUAAACUCUAUGCAGAAUGAAAAGUUUUUGCUGUCGUCAGUAUUGCUGUCAGUCAGUUGGUUGGUACUGGUCUUUAUGACUCACUAUCUUGAUGAUUGUCUUUAGUUCGAUUAUCUAAUUUUAAUGUUAAAACAAGUUUUCCAGGUUUGCAAGGUGUCUGGGGUGAACUCUGGGAAAAUAUUUGCAAUGAAGGUUUUGAAAAAGGUCUGGCACACUUCUGGUUUAAUUCUUAGGAAGCAUUCCUUUCCUUUAACUUUCCCAUGACAGUUGGCUUGGAAAGUUCAUAUUGUUUGUCCCCCUCAUUUCACAUUGUCAGCUUAGUUCACUGUGUUUGUUUAAUUUGUGUGUGGUCUGGGAAGCAUUUUCUCUUUCCCUGGAGAGUUUCGGCAGUGUUCAUGUUUAUAGUUUUAAGCAGCCUGUAUUUACGGUUGCCACUGUGUCGGUGGACCUGCUGUCUUAUUUCUUUUCUUUCACAGCUGAUGAUGAAGUAGCCUAAUGGGGCUUUGAAAUCAUAGUUGCCAAAUAAAACAUUUUCUCCCCCCUUUUAACAUUAAACAUGUCCACCCUAACACAUUAAUACUUGUAUUGCUUAGUUUGGCAGUGCCAGUCAAACACAUGUCUGAGAUUUUACAAAAUCACGUCUGGUGAAUGAGAGUGGCAGGCCAGCCAAAUCAUACACAAACAGACGUUUGUUAUUUUCAACAGUUGAGUCAAAAUUAUGUGGUCCAAAUUCCUUACAUUCCUGUCCCAAAUUGGAUUUGCAGUUCAUAGUUGUUUAAAGCAUGACCAUCUAUCAUUUAUCAUACAUCUCUGCCCCAGAGUGUACUAGGAAAAGAGUAACAUUACCAAAGUACUUACAACAUUGCUUUUGUCACAUGCCUAGAUUUUAGCCUCCAACCCUUUGUUUUGACAUCUUUUCCUAAACAUGGAACCAACGGUAAAUGAGUUCAUUCAUAUUUUUUUGUUUUGUAUUCAUUUACAGCCUAAUAAAAUUAGAUAGGUUUGUUCUUCACUGUUUUACUAAUUUAAAAAAAUGUAAUGGUCAUACCUUUGCCUUUUAUUUCACCACAGCGAGCCAAACUCUUCUUAUUUCACCAUCUUACAAGUAUGGUAGCAAUACCUUGGCAACCACCUGGUAUAGCACAGCAAUAGCAUACCAGCAGUUCAGCAACCACCAAGCAAUGUCCUAAAAAUGAGCUGGAAUCCCAUUGCGAUUUUGUAGCAACAUCAUCGCAACUACCUGGAAUUACUGUAUAAACCCAGUUAUCAGAAACAAUCAACUGUGUUUUGUCAAGCCAACUUAAAGUUCGUUCACAAACUUUCCUUUUCUAGUUUGCUUUUGGUCUCUUUGAACACGCUAUGAUUGUUUGUAAUGCUAAGGACACGCCAAAGCUGAGAGGAGCAUUUUGGAAGAGGUGAAACAGCCAUUCAUGGUAGAUCUUAUAUAUGCCUUUCAGAGAGGAGGCAAAUUAUAUCUCAUCCUUGAGUAGCUCAGUGGUGGGUUCAGCAGUGGAGCAGAGCAGAUUAAGUUAAACACUGUUGGAUUAAAUCUUAAUUUUUUUCACUGUAGUUGAUUUGAUUGAUUGUUAUUCUUAAAAGACUGUGCUGCAAGACUGAUCCAGUAACAACUUCGUUUUCUUUCUCAGGAGGGGAGCUUUCCAUGCAGCUUGAAAGAGGGGGGAUCUUCAGGAGGACACAGCGUACAGAAAUCUCCAUGGCCUUGGGUCACCUGCACUGAAAGAGAAAGGUAUUAUCUACAGAGACCUAAUACCAGAAAACAUCAUGCUCAUUAACAAUGUUGACUUCAGUCCAUGGUGGCACAAUGACCCACACCUUCUGUGGAACCUGACAUGGCCCCAGAGAUCCUGCGGAGGAGUGGUCAUAACCGAGCUGUGGACUGGUGGAGUUUGGGGACUUUUAUGUACGACAUGCUCACAGGUGCGGCAUCUGAUUAGGAUGUCCUGUGGCUGCCUCCCAUUGGAGAUUUACCAGGCACGGCCACCUGGGACAAGAUCUCAAGCGGUGACGCAUCCAAUUUGGCCUGGGAGUGGCUCAGGAUCCCCAGAAUGAGCUGGAGGAAGUUGCGGGGGACAGUUGUCUGCAAUUCUGUGUCCCUCAUUGAUAAUGCAAUGCUAGCAGGAUCAAGUGGUUUAAGAAGAAGAAGAAUAAAUGGUUUAAGAAAAACAAUAAAUGUUGAAAAGUGCAUAAUUAGUCUCAAACAGAGCAUCAUUCACCUAUUUAUAGCCUUGCUUAUGAAUGAGCCAGACUGAACUGAUUUAUUCAUAUCUUGCAGCCACAGUGUGCUUAAAGGGCAAGAUUAUUUUAAAUAAUUAUUCACAUUAAGAUGUAAGAUGUUGUAAAGCCAAGGUAAAAGAAUGCAAUGAAAAUUCAGGGAGGAGUAUGAAAAAAUUACUUUUUAAACUGUUGAUUUGCUGGAAAACAAUAAUAGCAAAAUUAUCAGGCAUGGUGGAAUGCAAAACGUUCAAAAGGUUUCUUUGACUACGUUCAGAUUACCAGGUUUAAGUACCAGAUUUUUUGCCCUAAUGUGACUCAGAUCUGAUGUUUUCAGGGCUGUGUGGACACAAAUUUAAACCUUUAGACCUGAGCCACUUUCAUAUGUGGUCCUAGAUCAAAUACGUAUCCGGUUUGUGACCAUGCCGCCUUAAUGUAAAAGCUCAAUUUGGAAUUCAUGUGCUGUUUUUCCACUGAGCAUGCGCCAUCAUUUAGUGUUACCAUGGCAACACUGCCGAACAGACGCUGACGCUAAAGCCUGUAAACAGUGGAAAAGAAACACAUCUCACCCUUUUAGUCUUCGUCUCACUGUAAUGCACCUUUGCAUCGAAGGCUCAUUCUGUUCACUAGUUGGUUAGCUGAUGAUGCCUGUGAUGCACGUGAUUCAUUAACGUGACGUUAAUGAAUAAGUAGUAGGAUAUGUCAUUUUGCAUGUUUCCUCAGAUGAUAUUUAUGUACGUUUGCACCCAAUUUGGUCAUAAUUAAAGCAACACUGAUAGACUUAUACUAUGUCAGAAAAAUCAAGAUUUUUUCAAAAUAAUUAUUUAUCUAGAGAUUUAUUACUAAAAUUCAAUUGAGUAGUUCAAAAAGCUAAUACUUGUAUUUGAAAAAAUGUCAGUGUAAAGAAUGGUUUGAAAUUAUGUUUUUAUCCAGGAUAUACCUAUUAAGAUUUAUUCUUUUUUAUGAAUAGCCAUUUUUUGUCAAGUACUUUUCAACCUAAAGGGAUUGUUUUGUUGUGGCCAUACUGUUCAAUACAAACAUUUAAUAUAAUUCUUGACCUAUAGACUCAAGACUAUAGACAUUUUAUUUAUUUAAUUUAUUUAUUUUAGAUGAUUUUUGUGGAAUUUUGCAAGGAUUCAGAUGAAAAAAAGUUUGUUGGUAUGUCUAGUGGUUCAGGAGAUACUAGCCAAAAUGUAAAACGUUGCACUGUAGCACCACCAUGUAUGACUAGAUGCACACACUGCAUCCACCCUCCUGGUUUGCUGUAUUAUGUCUCUUUGCAACAUGUUUUUCACAAAGAAAAGGAGAAAGAAUAAGGAAGAGAAUCUAAAUAAUUCUAGUAGGACCUCUGUCGCUUGGACACCCAAAGAAAAUCUCUAUUACAGUACUAAUUUUAGCUUGUGCCCUCUAUUGGAUUCUAGUAGUAUAUUAGCUUUAAGCUAACUGUGAUUCAAAUUAACAUUAUUUGACCAAACUAGAUUAAUGUGGCUUUUGAAGAAUGUAACAAACAUAUUAACACAUACUUUACCUUUUAUGUUGCAGUUUUAUAAAGAUUCUUAAAGAAAAGCACCUUGGCAAAUAGGCUGUAAUUCUUACUGAUGUUCAGUGAAAUAUGCUUAGGUUGACCUUUUUUUCUCAAAAACUUAGUUUUACUCAUUGGAAAUGAAAAAGUGAUUCGGUUGAUUCCACCAUCAGUUCCUAAUUAAGUUAGUGGUUAAUCUGAGAUGUUAGGCCUCCAGCUCAGCUCUGUUCCUGAUGUCCUAACCAGGGGGUAAUUGCUUGGCAGUAUCUACUUAUAUAUUACAGAAAUUUUUAUUGUGUGAGUAGCGUAAAUUUUUGCAGUAGUAUUAGAGGAAUAGAAACACUUUGAGCAGUGCUCAUGCAUGUUUUGUAACAGCAGGUUAACUGAAUGUUUGUUUAAGCAGGUGAGCAGGGCUUCAUUCCUACUAAUCUGUCAUUCUGGCACUGCAUGUGUGAGGUAAUUUAAUCAUGAUGUAAUCUUUAAACUCUUAAUAUGCUUUUACCAUGGAAACAAUAAAAAUAUUUUAUGAUAA